RNAcentral lists this ribosomal RNA (253 nucleotides) under uncultured bacterium. RNAcentral describes it as "partial 16S ribosomal RNA". It matches the Rfam family "Bacterial small subunit ribosomal RNA", at positions 524 to 776 of the family's 1533-position model. The record is from RNAcentral.
UACGUCGGGACCAAGCGUUGUCCGGAUUUACUGGGCGUAAAGAGCGCGCAGGCGGUCGUUCAAGUCGCGUGUGAAAGCCCCCGGCUCAACUGGGGAGGGUCACGCGAUACUGAUCGACUGGAAGGCAGGAGAGGGUAGUGGAAUUCCCGGUGUAGUGGUGAAAUGCGUAGAUAUCGGGAGGAACACCAGUGGCGAAGGCGACUACCUGGCCUGUUCUUGACGCUGAGGCGCGAAAGCUAGGGGAGCAAACGGG